UGCUGAGUAAAAUACAGGCAUUUUAAUCACAGCUUUGUAUUUAAAUCGGACACCUUUUAUACAUCCUGCAAUUCUGAAGUGCAGAAUCCAAUUUGAAUAGAGCCCAUUACUCAGAUUAUACGAGAUUAAACAUUUACUUCAGGUUUCUUGUAUGUGAAAAUUUGCAUAAACAAUCUUUGAAUAAAUGAGACUGUAAUUUGGCAAAUACUAUCAACAGCAGGAAUACUUGAAUUUAAAUUGUCAUUUAAAAAAAACCUGGUGUGUCUAGUACAUUAACAUCUGCUGAUCCUAUAAAAAUGUCUUUUGAGAGACUUAUUCUACCUUGCAUUCUUCAGUAAGCCAGGGUCCAGUGUUCGCCCAGGGGAAACUGUCUUUAGGUCAGCAUGGAAGUCACCACUGGCCUCAGCUCUGUACUUGCAGAGUUACUUUCCAGUUGCUGGAAUAAAUGAUCUGAACCAAUGCUGUCCUAGUCUCUUGGCAGAGAAGAGGAAGGAGCCCCUCCAAGUGGUGCAAAGGAGAGAAGAUGGUUUCUGUGCUGCUGCUCUUCUGCUCUCACUGCUCAGUGUGUAAGCAAGGAUACAGGAGGCCUCAUGGCACUGUGUAUUUCAGACUUUAAGUUGGUCUUAUUUCUUGCAUGGCUAUAUGGUCCCAAAGAAUUAAAGAUAUUUAUCUGGCCAUACUAUUACACAGUGGCAUGCGAGCUGCCUGGCAUGUUCUGCUGCAUAAUAUGGAGGAGGGCCAACAUACUGUUCACAGCCCUGAGCCAGAACUGACCCUGCUGAUCUGCCCAAGAUCUGCCAGGAAAAGCACUGGUGAAGCGUUCCCUCAUCUACACACAUAGCAGUGACCAGCAGAAACUAACAUAUUCACACUGAAUAGGUGCCAGAAUCCAGCUGCUUUGCUUGCAGGUGGUGGUGUCUCCCCCUCUUCUACCUGUCACCAUUUAUUUCUUUUCAUUUUGCACAUCCUUUGCUUAUUCUUGCUCUUUGCAUCCUGAAGAUUUUCAGGCUCAGUGAAAUUCUCCCUGUGGUUACGUCUAGCUGAGGACUUAGCCCAAAUCAAGUCCCCAGCUACUCAGCCAAGCAAGAACCUUACUGAAGGGGAGUCAAGCAACUGAUUUUAAUGGUUCUAGCAUUCUUACAGGAAAACGGACACAAUUUAUCUGCUAGAUGUUAACAAAGGUAGAGUUAACUGAUCAGCAAAAGGAAGAAGAGGAAAAAUAGUCUGAUCUGCUCCCUUGAAGAUGAAACAGAGCUAACACAUAUAAAAGGGAAAAUAAAGGGAGCCGAGAUGAAAAGAAUGGUAUUCUUACUUGCAGCUUUAUCUCCAGAAAAAGAGAGGCAUCUUAAUCACCCAUUCCAGAAGAUGCAAACCUGACAGCGCUAUUUUUGCUUGGAAUUAGAACUUUCCUCCUCCUUAAUCCAGCCUCUUGAUCCUUUACUUCUUUUGCUAAAGUAGAUUGUUGUAUGUGUGAACAACCUGGGCACUGUGCAGUGACCCAUUCCUCUCCCAGAUGGCUGUGGCCAAGAAGCUGAUCUUGUCCUUUGCUUCUAGCAUCAGGGUUCUCUUAACCAGAGAUCUCCUCUUGUUCCUGUGAAAAAGUUAAAAAAGAAGCAGGGAUUUAGCAGCAGCAGCAUCUCCCAACUAAUUUGUACCUUUUCUAUCAAUUGAUAAUUCCCUUCUACAGGAAGUAUAACUAGAGACAAAACCCAAGUCCGCAUGCAGACUGCUUUUCACCUCCAUAGUGCAUAGAGGAGGAGAAUUACUUCAGAUCAGGGGGUCACCUUCUGUUUUCCCUAGAGAGCCGGUUUCCUGCCUUGGUCUGCUCUGCCUGAGGGAGCUGUGAAAGAGGAGUUGGCCAGACUGGGAGCUGCUGGGCAGGGUCCCUCUAGGAGCAGGGAACUUUAGUCCUGUUGCUUCUGAAUGGCAAAAGCAAAGCAGAAUGGCAUCCUGCUGCUGACAUACCCAAAUGUGACAGCAGGCUUGGCAGGAGGCAGCGAUAACCGCUCUCCUGCUUCUGCUGUGCUAACCCAGGCUGCUUCAAGAGCACUGUAGUUGGGCAGGAGCACGGCUGUUGUUACUGGUAGGACCACCUCCUUAUCUAAUAAAUAGUUUAUUAGUGUUCAAAAGGGCACAGGCCACAGCAGAAUGGCCACUGAUACUCAGAAUCCACUGCCAUUCAGGGUUAAAGUUUCUAUCUGCAAAUGGCUCAGUUGUAAAAGUGAGAAAACUAUGUUGUGUGCAGCAAACCUGGAACUAAAUUGCAGUCCAGAGUACUAGCAGGUUGCUCUGUACUGCAGAAGAAUUUAGGCUGAUGUUGUGACUUUGGAACUGGAACAGCACCCACGUAGUGGGUAGCAUUCUAAAAACAUACCUGCUCUGCACAUUAGUAGCUGUCAUAUUUGCAGGGACUCAUAAUUCUUUUUCCUUCAGAGAAGCAUUACCUAAGCCAUGAUAUGAUCUGCUGUGUAGAGCUGAAAAGGAGUACACGUGACAAGUGAGACAGGUCUUUGAAAGAGUAGGAAUGUUAGCUGGGGAUGCAAGAAAAUAAAUGUCUGGCUUUUAGAAAUCUGAGGUAUAAAAUAGUAUUCAGUGAUAAUUUAAUUCUGUCUACAGAAAUAGCUAGAGCCAAAACCUGGUGAAAAUGGAGUAUUUUGUUGGCUUGUACUGAUUUUUGAGAGUGGGAAACCCUUGAAAAAUGUGAUUUUAAAACCAUAUAUGUAGACGAACAGCAAUAAAUCGUGCUUUGCCUGUAUAUCUGUUCUGCUCUUUCCCCCCCCUUGAUCGACAGGGUAAACAUUUUCCUACAAUAAACCUCAGUAUUUUAAGUUUG
Long non-coding RNA from Pezoporus occidentalis (night parrot), 2833 nucleotides. RefSeq lists it as uncharacterized. The record is from RefSeq and is a predicted model, not a curated record. The transcript is spliced from 2 exons. Lineage: Eukaryota; Metazoa; Chordata; Aves; Psittaciformes; Psittacidae.